AGUCGAACGGUAACAGGGAUUAGCUUGCUAAUUUGCUGACGAGUGGCGGACGGGUGAGUAAUGCUUGGGAAUCUAGCUUAUGGAGGGGGAUAACUACGGGAAACUGUAGCUAAUACCGCGUAAAAUCUUCGGAUUAAAGGGUGGGACUUUCGGGCCACCUGCCAUAAGAUGAGCCCAAGUGGGAUUAGGUAGUUGGUUAGGUAAAGGCUGACCAAGCCGACGAUCUCUAGCUGGUCUGAGAGGAUGACCAGCCACACUGGAACUGAGACACGGUCCAGACUCCUACGGGAGGCAGCAGUGGGGAAUAUUGCACAAUGGGGGGAACCCUGAUGCAGCCAUGCCGCGUGAAUGAAGAAGGCCUUCGGGUUGUAAAGUUCUUUCGGUGACGAGGAAGGUUGAUAGGUUAAUGGCCUAUCAAAUUGACGUUAAUCACAGAAGAAGCACCGGCUAACUCCGUGCCAGCAGCCGCGGUAAUACGGGGGGUGCGAGCGUUAAUCGGAAUAACUGGGCGUAAAGGGCACGCAGGCGGUGACUUAAGUGAGAUGUGAAAGCCCCGGGCUUAACCUGGGAAUUGCAUUUCAUACUGGGUCGCUAGAGUACUUUAGGGAGGGGUAGAAUUCCACGUGUAGCGGUGAAAUGCGUAGAGAUGUGGAGGAAUACUGAAGGCGAAGGCAGCCCCUUGGGAAUGUACUGACGCUCAUGUGCGAAAGCGUGGGGAGCAAACA
RNAcentral lists this ribosomal RNA (725 nucleotides) under uncultured Pasteurellales bacterium. RNAcentral's name for it is "bacterial SSU rRNA". It matches the Rfam family "Bacterial small subunit ribosomal RNA", at positions 60 to 774 of the family's 1533-position model. Lineage: Bacteria; Pseudomonadati; Pseudomonadota; Gammaproteobacteria; Pasteurellales. The record is from RNAcentral.